GCCUGACUUACCUCUGCUAAAGGCAGUCGGGAGAGUAUGAGACUCUUAAUCUCAGGGUUGCGGGUUCGAGUCCCACGCUGGGCA
Molecule: non-coding RNA, 84 nt
Organism: Podarcis lilfordi (Lilford's wall lizard)
Lineage: Eukaryota; Metazoa; Chordata; Lepidosauria; Squamata; Lacertidae
Source: the annotation of a GenBank genome assembly